RNAcentral lists this ribosomal RNA (437 nucleotides) under uncultured Clostridium sp. RNAcentral's name for it is "partial 16S ribosomal RNA". It matches the Rfam family "Bacterial small subunit ribosomal RNA", at positions 341 to 792 of the family's 1533-position model. The record is from RNAcentral. Lineage: Bacteria; Bacillati; Bacillota; Clostridia; Eubacteriales; Clostridiaceae.
ACGGGGGGCAGCCUUGGGGGAUAUUGCACAAUGGAGGAAACUCUGAUGCAGCAACGCCGCGUGAGGGAAGAAGGUCUUCGGAUUGUAAACCUUUGUUUUUAGUGAAGAAAGAAAUGACGGUAGCUAAAGAGGAAGCCACGGCUAACUACGUGCCAGCAGCCGCGGUAAUACGUAGGUGGCAAGCGUUGUCCGGAUUUACUGGGUGUAAAGGGUGCGCAGGCGGGACUGCAAGUUGGAUGUGAAAUACCGGAGCUUAACUCCGGAACCGCAUCCCAAACUGUAGUUCUUGAGUGGAGUAGAGGUAAGCGGAAUUCCGAGUGUAGCGGUGAAAUGCGUAGAUAUUCGGAGGAACACCAGUGGCGAAUGCGGCUUACUGGGCUCUAACUGACGCUGAGGCACGAAAGUGUGGGUAGCAAACAGGAUUAGAUACCCUGGUA